This 366-nucleotide long non-coding RNA is filed under the name Arabidopsis lyrata. RNAcentral describes it as "long non-coding RNA (ALYR_LNC002393)". Lineage: Eukaryota; Viridiplantae; Streptophyta; Magnoliopsida; Brassicales; Brassicaceae. The record is from RNAcentral.
AUUUGCUGAAAAACUUCCACCAAGUUUCUGAAAGCCAUGCCUCAAAAUCAUUAAAUUUUGUUGAAUCUCUCCAAUUUGACCACAAAGUAUCAACCUCUUCCCGAUACGACUUUAAACUUUACGGCCACGAUCCAGUUGAUCAUUUGCAAGAUGUUCGACGUACAUAAUUCUGCAUAUAUCAUUAUCUGAAAACUCGUUGGUGAUGAAUUCAAAGAAUUGUUAUAGACAAUGAAUGAUGUGAAGACAAAGUUUUGAAUGUGAAGACCAUUGCAAGCAUUCUAGAAUUUAUGAAGAAGAUUUGUCUUUCUGCAGAAAAAAAAAAGAGAAGAAAUUUGUUUUGUUGGAUUAGUGGAAAACUGAAAAGUG